UACGAAGGGGGCUAGCGUUGUUCGGAAUCACUGGGCGUAAAGGGCGCGUAGGCGGCCGAUCAAGUCGGGGGUGAAAGCCUGUGGCUCAACCACAGAAUUGCCUUCGAUACUGUUUGGCUUGAGACCGGAAGAGGUAAGUGGAACUGCGAGUGUAGAGGUGAAAUUCGUAGAUAUUCGCAAGAACACCAGUGGCGAAGGCGGCUCACUGGUCCGGUACUGACGCUGAGGUGCGAAAGCGUGGGGAGCAAACAGG
RNAcentral lists this ribosomal RNA (253 nucleotides) under uncultured bacterium. RNAcentral describes it as "partial 16S ribosomal RNA". It matches the Rfam family "Bacterial small subunit ribosomal RNA", at positions 524 to 776 of the family's 1533-position model. The record is from RNAcentral.